AACGAACGCUGGCGGCAUGCCUAACACAUGCAAGUCGAACGAAGCCUUCGGGCUUAGUGGCGCACGGGUGCGUAACGCGUGGGAAUCUGCCCUUGGGUUCGGAAUAACAGUUAGAAAUGACUGCUAAUACCGAAUGAUGUCUUCGGACCAAAGAUUUAUCGCCCAAGGAUGAGCCCGCGUCGGAUUAGCUAGUUGGUGAGGUAAAGGCUCACCAAGGCGACGAUCCGUAGCUGGUCUGAGAGGAUGAUCAGCCACACUGGGACUGAGACACGGCCCAGACUCCUACGGGAGGCAGCAGUGGGGAAUAUUGGGACAAAUGGGCGAAAAGCCUGAUCCAGCAAUGCCGCGUGAGUGAUGAAGGCCUUAGGGUUGUAAAGCUCUUUUACCCGGGAUGAUAAUGACAGUACCGGGAGAAAUAAGCCCCGGCUAACUCCGUGCCAGCAGCCGCGGUAAU
Molecule: ribosomal RNA, 454 nt
Filed under: uncultured bacterium
Lineage: Bacteria
Description: bacterial SSU rRNA
Rfam family: Bacterial small subunit ribosomal RNA
Source: RNAcentral